Molecule: ribosomal RNA, 162 nt
Filed under: Clavicipitaceae sp. IBL 03065
Lineage: Eukaryota; Fungi; Ascomycota; Sordariomycetes; Hypocreales; Clavicipitaceae
Description: Paecilomyces sp. IBL 03065 5.8S ribosomal RNA
Rfam family: 5.8S ribosomal RNA
About the family: 5.8S ribosomal RNA (5.8S rRNA) is a component of the large subunit of the eukaryotic ribosome. It is transcribed by RNA polymerase I as part of the 45S precursor that also contains 18S and 28S rRNA. Functionally, it is thought that 5.8S rRNA may be involved in ribosome translocation.
Source: RNAcentral
CGAAUCAAAACUUUCAACAACGGAUCUCUUGGUUCUGGCAUCGAUGAAGAACGCAGCGAAAUGCGAUACGUAAUGUGAAUUGCAGAAUUCCGUGAAUCAUCGAAUCUUUGAACGCACAUUGCGCCCGCCAGCAUUCUGGCGGGCAUGCCUGUUCGAGCGUCA